CACUGCCAUGGCUGCCCUUGACGACCAGCCCGCGGAGGCCCAGCCCCCGUCACCACGGUCCUCCAGCCCCUGCCGGACGCCAGAGCCGGACAAUGAUGCUCACCUACGCAGCUCCUCUCGCCCCUGCAGCCCCGUCCACCACCACGAGGGCCAUGCCAAGCUGUCUAGCAGCCCCCCUCGUGCAAGCCCCGUGAGGAUGGCACCGUCGUACGUGCUCAAGAAAGCCCAGGUAUUGAGUGCUGGCAGCCGGAGGCGGAAGGAGCAGCGCUACCGCAGCGUCAUCUCAGACAUCUUUGACGGCUCCAUUCUCAGCCUCGUGCAGUGUCUCACCUGUGACCGGGUAUCCACCACAGUGGAAACAUUCCAGGACUUAUCACUGCCCAUUCCUGGCAAGGAGGACCUGGCCAAGCUCCAUUCAGCCAUCUACCAGAAUGUGCCGGCCAAGCCAGGCGCCUGUGGGGACAGCUAUGCCGCCCAGGGCUGGCUGGCCUUCAUUGUGGAGUACAUCCGACGGUGUGCCCACCUUGCCACUACUGGGCGACACGGGCUGGGCCCUGUCCUGGUUUUCCUGGGCGGGAGACAGUACACAGUGAAGUCCAUGCAUUUGGGGAACCAGGGAGGUCCUGGGAGGAGCUGGGGGCCGAAGCCUGCAGAGGAGUUGGCUUAAUAUGCAGGGGAUUUCUUGGCUACUUUGAAGUGGCCAGGAUUGGAUAGUCCCUUGGAGCUGGAGGGUGAUGGACAGCAGGGAGGUGACCACGUGGCAGGUUGAAGGGAGGGCAGCAGCAGGACACAGGCCUGGUUGGCGGGAAGGGCAGCAGCUUU
This 822-nucleotide small RNA is filed under the name Pan troglodytes (chimpanzee). Its description in RNAcentral is "processed transcript". Lineage: Eukaryota; Metazoa; Chordata; Mammalia; Primates; Hominidae. The record is from RNAcentral.